RNAcentral lists this ribosomal RNA (432 nucleotides) under uncultured bacterium. RNAcentral describes it as "partial 16S ribosomal RNA". It matches the Rfam family "Bacterial small subunit ribosomal RNA", at positions 355 to 808 of the family's 1533-position model. The record is from RNAcentral.
UGGGGAAUAUUGCACAAUGGGCGAAAGCCUGAUGCAGCAACGCCGCGUGAGUGAUGAAGGUCUUCGGAUUGUAAAGCUCUGUCUUUUGGGACGAUAAUGACGGUACCAAAGGAGGAAGCCACGGCUAACUACGUGCCAGCAGCCGCGGUAAUACGUAGGUGCGAGCGUUGUCCGGAUUUACUGGGCGUAAAGGGUGCGUAGGCGGAUGUUUAAGUGAGAUGUGAAAUACCCGGGCUUAACUUGGGUGCUGCAUUUCAAACUGGAUAUCUAGAGUGCAGGAGAGGAGAAUGGAAUUCCUAGUGUAGCGGUGAAAUGCGUAGAGAUUAGGAAGAACACCAGUGGCAAGGCGAUUCUCUGGACUGUAACUGACGCUGAGGCACGAAAGCGUGGGUAGNAACAGGAUUAGAUACCCUGGUAGUCCACGCGUAAACG